Sturnus vulgaris (Common starling) is the source of this 249-nucleotide non-coding RNA. The record is from RefSeq and is a predicted model, not a curated record. NCBI's taxonomy places the organism in Eukaryota, Metazoa, Chordata, Aves, Passeriformes, Sturnidae.
UGGCGGCCCUCGGGGCUCCCCCGGUCCCCAAAAUCUUCUCCACGAUGGAGGAGGGGCCGAUCCCCGACGGGAUCAACCCGGGAGAGGCAUGGCUGGAGUCCCAUGGCCGCAGCCUCGGACACUUUGUGAACGGAACGUGGCUGAAGCCGCCAGGACGGACGAGCCUGGAGUGCCAGGAGGCCACCACGGGCCGGACGGUGGCUGCGGUGCCAGCCGGGGACACUUCGGACCUGGCCGUGGCCGUGGCGG